This 533-nucleotide ribosomal RNA is filed under the name uncultured bacterium. Its description in RNAcentral is "partial 16S ribosomal RNA". It matches the Rfam family "Bacterial small subunit ribosomal RNA", at positions 355 to 905 of the family's 1533-position model. The record is from RNAcentral.
UGGGGAAUAUUGGACAAUGGGCGCAAGCCUGAUCCAGCCAUGCCGCGUGAGUGAUGAAGGCCUUAGGGUUGUAAAGCUCUUUCGCCGGUGAAGAUAAUGACGGUAACCGGAGAAGAAGCCCCGGCUAACUUCGUGCCAGCAGCCGCGGUAAUACGAAGGGGGCUAGCGUUGCUCGGAAUCACUGGGCGUAAAGCGCACGUAGGCGGAUCGUUAAGUCAGGGGUGAAAUCCUGGAGCUCAACUCCAGAACUGCCCUUGAUACUGGCGAUCUCGAGUUCGAGAGAGGUUGGUGGAACUCCGAGUGUAGAGGUGAAAUUCGUAGAUAUUCGGAAGAACACCAGUGGCGAAGGCGGCCAACUGGCUCGAUACUGACGCUGAGGUGCGAAAGCGUGGGGAGCAAAACAGGAUUAGAUACCCUGGUAGUCCACGCCGUAAACGAUGGAUGCUAGCCGUUGGGGGGUUUACCUCUCAGUGGCGCAGCUAACGCCUUAAGCAUCCCGCCUGGGGAGUACGGUCGCAAGAUUAAAACUCAAA